Dreissena polymorpha is the source of this 602-nucleotide long non-coding RNA. RefSeq lists it as uncharacterized. Lineage: Eukaryota; Metazoa; Mollusca; Bivalvia; Myida; Dreissenidae. The record is from RefSeq and is a predicted model, not a curated record. The transcript has 3 exons.
AAUACUAUAUGCUUUACACAUGAGUUCAUGGAUAAUGAUCUCAGUACUGUAUGUUUUAUUUAGCUUUACAAUAUUAAGAAGCUCAUAUAGCAUGCAUUUACAACUGUUUUUUUCUCUGGGGUUAUUGCCAUCUUUUAUAAUUGAGAACAGAUGCCCAGAGGCUAUACAUGCCCAGCUGUAAACACAGUGGGGUGGUCCCAGUGCAGCAGAUUGGAAUGAGACUGGCAUGCACAGUGGUCAUCAGUGAUAUCUAUUUAGCAAAAGAUGUCAUACAAGUAUGCGUUGCUUUUGUUUGACUGUGAUGGUACUACGGCUGUUGUCCAUAGACGUCAACUGCCAGAGAAUGCAGCCAUUGGCCAACAGUUUGAGCUGAAAGAAAGUGGGAAUCACCUAUGUGAAAUCGUAAAUCUGGCCGAGACAAAAGAUGCCCUGAAUGCUUGGGAGCGUACUUGGUCUUCAUCAGCGAGGAGCCAGCUCAUUGAUCGAAAGCGAGAAAAAGGUGCAUCAAAUGGAUAUCUUGAACAGCAGGUAACCUUAUCAAUUAUGUGUCGAGUUAGUAGUAUAUGUAAGGCCCACACUCACAGAUGAUAGGCAGUAAACAA